Molecule: long non-coding RNA, 969 nt
Organism: Rosa rugosa (rugosa rose)
Lineage: Eukaryota; Viridiplantae; Streptophyta; Magnoliopsida; Rosales; Rosaceae
Exons: 3
Source: RefSeq, a predicted model, not a curated record
AUGACCGAAGGCGGGGAGGAAAACAAAUCGGCCCUAAUCCAAAAGAAAAAGAAAAAUAAAGAUAAACCCUAAGGAGAACAUAAUCCUAUCUCUCCUGGUUUUCUCCUCUACUCCAACUGCGUCUCUGUGGCAUCCUCUCUCAAUCUCACAUCUUUGAAGCUCUCUCAGACCAUUCUCUCUCACGGAGGGUCAUAAGAACGCGCACCCUGGUCACCUCCCUCACUUCGCCUUCAGCAAAACACAUAAUUGCAGCUCUCAUAUCUGUUCCUCCACCACCGCCAACAACACGGUCAAGGAAAGAGUCUGGAGCAUUUCCAAAAUUUAGCUCAAGUUCAAGAUCUUAAGGUUAGACGACAAGUCCUCAAAUUUUUGAUAGAAGACAGAGCCCUAAAAUUAGUCAGUGUCAUCACCAGGUGAGUUAUAUGCUCUUAUUUUUUAUAUGUAUCAUAUAUACUCUAUGCUAAUUUGUAUGUGUGUUGAUAAUAUAUACGAGUUUGAUUAUGCACAAGAACCCUUCCUGAUGGGACUCGAACCAUGAAUGAUGAUGAAAUAUGUGCAAAGGUCCUUGGAGUAAAAUCAGGCUACAUCAAGGGUUGUGGUUUUGGCCCUAGGCCUCCACCAUCUAGCACUUCUCGAUCGUCAAUAGAUGAAAUGUCUGAGAAGAAUAAAGAGUUAGAAGAUAAACUUGAAGAGACCCAAGAUACUAUAAAGGCUCAACAAGAAAAGAUUGAUGCACAAAACGUGCUGAUCCAAGAAUUGCAGGACAAAGGCAAAAAGUUUGAGCAGUUCAUGGCAACCUUUAUGAACCAACAAGCAUCAAGUUAAUUAUGCGUAUCUAGGAUUUAGUAUCAGUUAAACAAGUUCAUUGAUUUUUGGAUCCUUUUUAGUUCAGUAUUGACUUUAGACUAUUCCAAUUAGUAGUUAUGAUAGACAACAUUAUGAAUUAUUAUUUUGUUUAUUGUUUAACUA